AGGACGAACGCUUGCGGCGUGCCUAAGAAAUGCAAGUCGAGCGGGGGUAGCAAUACCCUAGCGGCGAACGGUCGCGUAACACGUAAGCAAUCUGCCCUCAAGACUGGGAUAACACACCGAAAGGGGGUGCUAAUACCAGAUGUGGCUCUCUGGCGGCAUCGUCGGAGAACUAAACCAGGCAACUGGCUUGGGGAUGAGCUUGCGGCCUAUCAGCUAGUUGGUGGGGUAACGGCCUACCAAGGCGACGACGGGUAGCUGGUCUGAGAGGACGGCCAGCCGGACUGGGACUGAGAUACGGCCCAGACUCCUACGGGGGGCAGCAAUUAGGAAUCUUGCACAAUGGGCGAAAGCCUGAAUGCAGCGACGCCGCGUGAAGGAUGAAGUCCCUCGGGAUGUAAACUUCUUUUGUUCGGGACGAAGAAUGUGACGGUACCGAACGAAUAAGCCCCGGCUAACUACGUGCCAGCCGCUGC
This 473-nucleotide ribosomal RNA is filed under the name uncultured bacterium. RNAcentral's name for it is "bacterial SSU rRNA". It matches the Rfam family "Bacterial small subunit ribosomal RNA", at positions 26 to 518 of the family's 1533-position model. The record is from RNAcentral.